Long non-coding RNA from Phascolarctos cinereus (koala), 356 nucleotides. RefSeq lists it as uncharacterized. The record is from RefSeq and is a predicted model, not a curated record. Lineage: Eukaryota; Metazoa; Chordata; Mammalia; Diprotodontia; Phascolarctidae.
GUUCAACAAGGAUAGGGUAGCACUUAGCUUGUCUUGACAAGACCUCUUUGAUUCUAUAUGGAAACAAGUCUGAUCAGCAGAGAAAGUCCCCCUAAUGGAAGGCAGCGUUUCCGUUGGCUUGACAGAAUCUGCCUUUUGUGGAGGCUGGGCAGGACGCCAUACUUGGUUAUCUGCUGGAGAAGACCUCACUGCCUCAUCAGCUCCUGGAGCUACAUGAGUUUGCAGGGCUGGAGCUUGGGAGAAUGACCAAUAUGGAAAUGUGUUUUGCUUGAUUAAAUAUGUAUAAUCUAAAAAAAAAAGAAUAUGAAGACAAAUAAGGUCCAAUAAGAUUCAAUAGAAAUUGUAUAAGACAUUAA